Molecule: ribosomal RNA, 440 nt
Filed under: uncultured bacterium
Lineage: Bacteria
Description: partial 16S ribosomal RNA
Rfam family: Bacterial small subunit ribosomal RNA
Source: RNAcentral
CCUACGGGAGGCUGCAGUGGGGAAUAUUGGACAAUGGGGGAAACCCUGAUCCAGCAAUGCCGCGUGAGUGAUGAAGGCCUUCGGGUUGUAAAGCUCUUUUGUCAGGGACGAUGAUGACGGUACCUGACGAAUAAGCUCCGGCUAACUUCGUGCCAGCAGCCGCGGUAAUACGAGGGGAGCUAGCGUUGUUCGGAAUUACGGGGCGUAAAGGGCGUGUAGGCGGUACCAUAAGUCAGAUGUGAAAGCCCUAGGCUUAACCUAGGAAUUGCAGUUGAUACUGUGGAACUAGAGAUCGGGAGAGGUAAGUGGAAUUACGAGUGUAGAGGUGAAAUUCGUAGAUAUUCGUAAGAACACCAGUGGCGAAGGCGACUUACUGGCUCGAUACUGACGCUAAGGCGCGAAAGCGUGGGGAGCAAACAGGAUUAGAUACCCCAGUAGUC